CACGUAUUUAGCCGUCACUUCUUCUGUUGGUACCGUCAUUUCUUUCUUCCCAACUGAAAGCACUUUACAUUCCGAAAAACUUCAUCGUGCACACAGAAUUGCUGGAUCAGACUCUCGGUCCAUUGUCCAAUAUUCCCCACUGCUGCCUCCCGUAGGAGUAAGGGCCGUGUCUCAGUCCCCUUGUCGGCCGUUCACCCUCUCAGGCCGGCUACCCAUCAUCGCCUUGGUGAGCUGUUACCUCUCCAACUAGCUAAUGGGACGCAAGGCUCUCUCACAGUGCUUAUAGCUUUACAUUAAUUCUAAGUAUGACCUUAAAAUCAUAAUAUCAAGGUAUUAGCUAAUUCAUUUACUAAAUUGUUCGUCCUAGUCUGGUGAGCUAAGUUCUUACGCGUUACUCCACCCGUCCGCCUAACCAAAUACUAAACGUUAAAAACCC
RNAcentral lists this ribosomal RNA (436 nucleotides) under uncultured Fusobacterium sp. Its description in RNAcentral is "partial 16S ribosomal RNA". The record is from RNAcentral. Lineage: Bacteria; Fusobacteriati; Fusobacteriota; Fusobacteriia; Fusobacteriales; Fusobacteriaceae.